GGCCUUCCGUAAUGGUAGUAUCUUGGCACAAUAUCAUAGGCAAAAUGCUGACGUGGCACUAUAUUUAUUGAGGAAAGAGGAGGUUGUUGUAUCUUAUUUAGGAUACGGCUCUUGCACGGUAUCAUAGGCAAAAUAACUUGUUAGACCAAUCACAUAUUAGUAUGAGGCCAAAAUCAUUAAAUACAUGCUUACUAAGAUACGACACUUAACAUACAAUACAUUAGGAUGGUUGUAUCUAACGAUCGUAUACUAUCUAGGAUACCGCGCUAAGAGACAAUGCAUUACGGAAGGCCUU
This 295-nucleotide long non-coding RNA is filed under the name Hordeum vulgare. RNAcentral describes it as "long non-coding RNA (HVUL_LNC000412)". Lineage: Eukaryota; Viridiplantae; Streptophyta; Magnoliopsida; Poales; Poaceae. The record is from RNAcentral.